UACGUAGGGUGCGAGCGUUGUCCGGAAUUAUUGGGCGUAAAGAGCUCGUAGGCGGUGUGUCACGUCGGCCGUGAAAACCUGCAGCUUAACUGGGGAACUGCGUCCGAUACUGGAUGGCUCGAGUUUGGGAGAGGGAUGCGGAAUUCCAGGUGUAGCGGUGAAAUGCGUAGAUAUCUGGAGGAACACCGGUGGCGAAGGCGGCAUCCUGGACCAACACUGACACUGAGGAGCGAAAGCCAGGGGAGCAAACGGG
Molecule: ribosomal RNA, 253 nt
Filed under: uncultured bacterium
Lineage: Bacteria
Description: partial 16S ribosomal RNA
Rfam family: Bacterial small subunit ribosomal RNA
Source: RNAcentral